This 84-nucleotide transfer RNA is filed under the name Phycisphaerales bacterium. RNAcentral's name for it is "tRNA-OTHER". Lineage: Bacteria; Pseudomonadati; Planctomycetota; Phycisphaerae; Phycisphaerales. The record is from RNAcentral.
CCAGCUGUGCGAGCCGGUCGGAUCAUCGGGUUGGGCUGUGUUGCGCUGACCGACCCCGAGGUUCAAAUCCUCGCGGCUGAUCCA